This 604-nucleotide ribosomal RNA is filed under the name uncultured soil bacterium. RNAcentral's name for it is "bacterial SSU rRNA". It matches the Rfam family "Bacterial small subunit ribosomal RNA", at positions 57 to 640 of the family's 1533-position model. The record is from RNAcentral.
GCAAGUCGAACGCGAAAGUCCCGCAAGGGAUCAGUAGAGUGGCAAACGGGUGAGUAACGCGUGGGUGACCUGCCUUCGAGCGGGGGAUAACGUUCCGAAAGGGACGCUAAUACCGCAUAACAUCCUGCUUUUUAAGAGGUGGAGAUCAAAGCCGGGGAUCGCAAGACCUGGCACUCGAAGAGGGGCCCGCGUCCGAUUAGCUAGUUGGUGGGGUAAUGGCUCACCAAGGCUCCGAUCGGUAUCCGGCCUGAGAGGGCGGACGGACACACUGGGACUGAGACACGGCCCAGACUCCUACGGGAGGCAGCAGUGGGGAAUUGUUCGCAAUGGGCGCAAGCCUGACGACGCAACGCCGCGUGGAGGAUGAAGAUCUUCGGGUCGUAAACUCCUUUCGAUCGAGACGAACGGCUUCCGGGUGAACAAUCCGGGAGAGUGACGGUACCGAGAGAAGAAGCCCCGGCUAACUCCGUGCCAGCAGCCGCGGUAAUACGGGGGGGGCAAGCGUUGUUCGGAAUUACUGGGCGUAAAGGGCUCGUAGGUGGCCAACUAAGUCAGACGUGAAAUCCCUCGGCUUAACCGGGGAACUGCGUCUGAUACUGGAUGG